Molecule: transfer RNA, 75 nt
Filed under: Moeroris amara
Lineage: Eukaryota; Viridiplantae; Streptophyta; Magnoliopsida; Malpighiales; Phyllanthaceae
Description: Phyllanthus amarus tRNA-Glu
Rfam family: tRNA
About the family: Transfer RNA (tRNA) molecules are approximately 80 nucleotides in length. Their secondary structure includes four short double-helical elements and three loops (D, anti-codon, and T loops).
Source: RNAcentral
GCCCCCAUCGUCUAGUGUGGUUCAGGACAUCUCUCUUUCAAGGAGGCAGCGGGGAUUCGACUUCCCCUGGGGGUA